Molecule: ribosomal RNA, 459 nt
Filed under: uncultured bacterium
Lineage: Bacteria
Description: partial 16S ribosomal RNA
Rfam family: Bacterial small subunit ribosomal RNA
Source: RNAcentral
CCUACGGGUGGCUGCAGUGAGGAAUAUUGGUCAAUGGGCGCGAGCCUGAACCAGCCAAGUCGCGUGAGGGAAGACGGUCCUAUGGAUUGUAAACCUCUUUUGUCGGGGAGCAAACGACGCCACGCGUGGCGUUCCGAGAGUACCCGAAGAAAAAGCAUCGGCUAACUCCGUGCCAGCAGCCGCGGUAAUACGGAGGAUGCGAGCUGUAUCCGGAUUUAUUGGGUUUAAAGGGUGCGCAGGCGGACGGUAAAGUCAGCGGUAAAAUUGAGGGGCUCAACCUCUUCGAGCCGUUGAAACUGGGUGUCUGGGGUGAGUGAGAAGUAUGCGGAAGGCGGGGUGUAGCGGUGAAAUGCAUAGAUAUCACGCAGAACUCCGAGUGCGAAGGCAGCAUACCGGCGCCCAACUGACGCUGAAGCACGAAAGCGUGGGUAUCGAACAGGAGUAGAUACCCUAGUAGUC